GACGAACGCUGGCGGCGUGCUUAACACAUGCAAGUCGAACGGUAAGGCCCUUCGGGGUACACGAGUGGCGAACGGGUGAGUAACACGCGGGUGAUCUGCCCUGCACUUCGGGAUAAGCCCGGGAAACUGGGUCUAAUACCGGCUAGGAGUCCGGACCGCAUAGCCUGGGGCGGAAAGCCUUUGCGGUGUGGGAUGGGCCCUGGGCCUAGCAGCUUGUUGGUGGGGUGAUGGCCUACCAAGGCGACGACGGGUAGCCGGCCUGGGUGGGGGACCGGCGACACGGGGACUGAGAGACGGCGCAGUCUCCAACUGGGGGCAGCGGUGGGGAAUAUUGCACAAUGGGCGCAAGCCUGGUGCAGCGACGCCGCGUUAGGGAUGACGGCCUUCGGGUUGUAAACCUCUUUCAGCAUCGACGAAGCGAAAGUGACGGUAGGUGCAGAAGAAGGACCGGCCAACUACGUGCCAGCCGCCGCGGUAA
This 478-nucleotide ribosomal RNA is filed under the name uncultured bacterium. RNAcentral describes it as "partial 16S ribosomal RNA". It matches the Rfam family "Bacterial small subunit ribosomal RNA", at positions 28 to 523 of the family's 1533-position model. The record is from RNAcentral.